UACAGAGGAUGCAAGCGUUAUCCGGAAUGAUUGGGCGUAAAGCGUCUGUAGGUGGCUUUUUAAGUCCGCCGUCAAAUCCCAGGGCUCAACUCUGGACAGGCGGUGGAGACUGUAAGGCUAGAGUUUGGCAGAGGGGGGUAGAAUUCCACGUGUAGCAGUGAAAUGCGUAGAGAUGUGGAGGAACACCGAUGGCGAAGGCAGCCCCCUGGGUCGAGACUGACGCUCAUGCACGAAAGCGUGGGGAGCAAACAGG
RNAcentral lists this ribosomal RNA (253 nucleotides) under uncultured bacterium. Its description in RNAcentral is "partial 16S ribosomal RNA". It matches the Rfam family "Bacterial small subunit ribosomal RNA", at positions 524 to 776 of the family's 1533-position model. The record is from RNAcentral.